RNAcentral lists this ribosomal RNA (465 nucleotides) under uncultured bacterium. Its description in RNAcentral is "partial 16S ribosomal RNA". It matches the Rfam family "Bacterial small subunit ribosomal RNA", at positions 28 to 507 of the family's 1533-position model. The record is from RNAcentral.
GACGAACGCUGGCGGCGUGCUUAACACAUGCAAGUCGAACGGAAAGGCCCCUUUGGGGGUACUCGCUUGGCGAACGGGUGAGUAACACGUGAGUAACCUGCCUUUGCCUUCGGGUUAACUUCAGUCAACUGGGUCUAUUACCGGCUAGGAAUCCUUUCUUCCUGUUUGGGGUUGGAAAGCUUCGUCGGUUUUGGCUGGACUCGCGGCUUAUCAGCUUGUUGGUGGGGUAGUGGCUUACCAAGGCUUUGACGGGUAGCCGGCCUGAGAGGGCGACCGGCCACAUUGGGGCUGGGAUACGGCCCAGACUCCUACGGGAGGCAGCAGUGGGGAAUAUUGCACAAGGGGCGGAAGCCUGAUGCAGCAAAGCCGCGGGCGGGAUGACGGCCUUCGGGUUGGAAACCGCGUUCAGCAGGGGCGAAGCUUGUGGUGACGGUACCUGCAGAAGAAGCACCGGCUAACUACGUG